AACGAACGCUGGCGGCAGGCCUAACACAUGCAAGUCGAGCGGACCCUUCGGGGUUAGCGGCGGACGGGUGAGUAACGCGUGGGAAUAUGCCCUUCUCUACGGAAUAGUCCUGGGAAACUGGGGUAAUACCGUAUACGCCCUUUGGGGGAAAGAUUUAUCGGGGAAGGAUUAGCCCGCGUUGGAUUAGGUAGUUGGUGGGGUAAUGGCCUACCAAGCCGACGAUCCAUAGCUGGUUUGAGAGGAUGAUCAGCCACACUGGGACUGAGACACGGCCCAGACUCCUACGGGAGGCAGCAGUGGGGAAUCUUAGACAAUGGGGGCAACCCUGAUCUAGCCAUGCCGCGUGAGUGAUGAAGGCCUUAGGGUUGUAAAGCUCUUUCAGCUGGGAAGAUAUGACGGUACCAUCAGAAGAAGCCCCGGCUAACUCCGUG
This 431-nucleotide ribosomal RNA is filed under the name uncultured bacterium. RNAcentral's name for it is "partial 16S ribosomal RNA". It matches the Rfam family "Bacterial small subunit ribosomal RNA", at positions 29 to 507 of the family's 1533-position model. The record is from RNAcentral.